Molecule: ribosomal RNA, 450 nt
Filed under: uncultured bacterium
Lineage: Bacteria
Description: partial 16S ribosomal RNA
Rfam family: Bacterial small subunit ribosomal RNA
Source: RNAcentral
GUGGGGAAUUUUGGACAAUGGGCGCAAGCCUGAUCCAGCCAUGCCGCGUGAGUGAAGAAGGCCUACGGGUUGUAAAGCUCUUUCGGCGGGGAAGAAAUGGCACGCUCUAACAUAGCGUGUUGAUGACGGUACCCGCAUAAGAAGCACCGGCUAACUACGUGCCAGCAGCCGCGGUAAUACGUAGGGUGCGAGCGUUAAUCGGAAUUACUGGGCGUAAAGCGUGCGCAGGCGGUUUCGUAAGACAGAGGUGAAAUCCCCGGGCUCAACCUGUGAAUGGCCUUUGUGACUGCGAGGCUAGAGUGUGACAGAGGGGGGUAGAAUUCCACGUGUAGCAGUGAAAUGCGUAGAGAUGUGGAGGAAUACCGAUGGCGAAGGCAGCCCCCUGGGUUACUACUGACGCUCAUGCACGAAAGCGUGGGGAGCAAACAGGAUUAGAUACCCUAGUAGUCC